UGCUGUGAACUCGAAGAGUAGGGCGGGACACGUGGUAUCCUGUCUGAAUAUGGGGGGACCAUCCUCCAAGGCUAAAUACUCCUGACUGACCGAUAGUGAACCAGUACCGUGAGGGAAAGGCGAAAAGAACCCCGGCGAGGGGAGUGAAAAAGAACCUGAAACCGUGUACGUACAAGCAGUGGGAGCCUCUUUAUGGGGUGACUGCGUACCUUUUGUAUAAUGGGUCAGCGACUUAUAUUCUGUAGCAAGGUUAACCGUAUAGGGGAGCCGAAGGGAAACCGAGUCUUAACUGGGCGUUAAGUUGCAGGGUAUAGACCCGAAACCCGGUGAUCUAGCCAUGGGCAGGUUGAAGGUUGGGUAACACUAACUGGAGGACCGAACCGACUAAUGUUGAAAAAUUAGCGGAUGACCUGUGGCUGGGGGUGAAAGGCCAAUCAAACCGGGAGAUAGCUGGUUCUCCCCGAAAGCUAUUUAGGUAGCGCCUCGUGAACUCAUCUUCGGGGGUAGAGCACUGUUUCGGCUAGGGGGCCAUCCCGGCUUACCAACCCGAUGCAAACUACGAAUACCGAAGAAUGUUAUCACGGGAGACACACGGCGGGUGCUAACGUCCGUCGUGAAGAGGGAAACAACCCAGACCGCCAGCUAAGGUCCCAAAGUCAUGGUUAAGUGGGAAACGAUGUGGGAAGGCACAGACAGCCAGGAUGUUGGCUUAGAAGCAGCCAUCAUUUAAAGAAAGCGUAAUAGCUCACUGGUCGAGUCGGCCUGCGCGGAAGAUGUAACGGGGCUAAACCAUGCACCGAAGCUGCGGCAGCGACACUAUGUGUUGUUGGGUAGGGGAGCGUUCUGUAAGCCGUUGAAGGUGUGCUGUGAGGCAUGCUGGAGGUAUCAGAAGUGCGAAU
RNAcentral lists this ribosomal RNA (899 nucleotides) under Enterobacter hormaechei. Its description in RNAcentral is "partial 23S ribosomal RNA". It matches the Rfam family "Bacterial large subunit ribosomal RNA", at positions 395 to 1295 of the family's 2925-position model. RNAcentral also lists the same sequence under 1 other name. Lineage: Bacteria; Pseudomonadati; Pseudomonadota; Gammaproteobacteria; Enterobacterales; Enterobacteriaceae. The record is from RNAcentral.